GCCGUGGAAACCGAAAAACGUACGAGUAGGUG
This 32-nucleotide non-coding RNA is filed under the name Kordia algicida OT-1. The record is from RNAcentral. Lineage: Bacteria; Pseudomonadati; Bacteroidota; Flavobacteriia; Flavobacteriales; Flavobacteriaceae.